Molecule: long non-coding RNA, 6330 nt
Filed under: Malus domestica (apple)
Lineage: Eukaryota; Viridiplantae; Streptophyta; Magnoliopsida; Rosales; Rosaceae
Description: long non-coding RNA (MDOM_LNC007381)
Source: RNAcentral
UGAAACCUUGGUGUGCAAAGAGUCUUCUACGUUGUACUGAUCCUUAGCAAUCAAACCGUAUGGGGAGUUUGUGAAUAUUGCGCAUAUCAGCAAACGCAGGGACCUUCACUUAUAUAGACAUAUUAACCUAAGAGGCUUAGCCCAUCAUUGAGACCUAAUAGGUAACUGAAUAUGUCUAUAUCUCCUUAACCAAUCAGGAUUAGGAACCCCUUUAGCAAGAAUAACAACUUAAUAUUACAUUCCUUUUGCAACUGGUAAAGUCCAAGUUAAUUCCCUAAUCCUAUAACUUGAUCCUCAAGUAACGUACAAUGAUUGUGAGACCACAAAACCUGUGAGAACCGGAUUUUACUCCAACAUUCUCCCACUUGGUCGAAACAAGCAUUGUAUGAAACUUAACUUAAGAGAAAACAAAUCAGGAUUACUUUAGUGGCCAUGGAAAUCACUUAAACUCAAAGUUCCUUAUAGCUUCUGUCAAUUAGCACAAUCACAUAGAACUAACAAGUCUAUUGGACAAGAGCAACGUCCAUAGUCUUCAUAAUCACAUAUGUGAGCAUGGUUAAUCACAUGAAACAUCAAUAAGUGAGAAAAUCGAAAUAUAAAUAUCAAACUUGAUGUAAUAUAUUGAUAUUUUAAUUUCUAAGGUCCUCCUUGAUCAGACCAUGAAAGUCUGCUUAAUGCUUCAACCGAAGCCCUCCAAAACUAUUAAAAGAAUGAAGAAUAACGACUGAAACCUUAUGUCCAAAACCCAGUCAGUUCUAGCAUGAUGACUGGUGUAACUGUAUCAGAACACCUUAGUUUUCUACUCUUAAUGAAAACAGUAUCUGAAAACAUUCUUCAUAUCAUCUUGUAAAUGCUUGUGACUUUAAAGCAUUAACUUUACUUUUUUACUUCAUAGCUGCAUUCAAACAGCCACACAAAUAUAUAAAACAUCUAACAAGUUCAUAAUAAAAAUAACUGAAAAUGCUUCAAACUUUAUAAUCCAAACUCACGAACCAACCAAAACUAAUAGUUUUAGUGACUUAACUCCAGAAUCAAUGCAAGGGAACUAACUAAAAUAAAUGAAUCUCCCACUAAUUCAGUGCAUCAAAAUCGAAAACUAAGCCCAUGUUUUUCACAUGCACAUGGAACGCUGCAUUAGGAAGAGCUUUGUUGAGUGGAUCCGCCGACAUUGACUUAGUAUCAAUGUAAUCAAUUUUAAUUUGCUGCUUCUUGACUUCCUUGCGAAUCAUCUUAUACUUGAGAUCCAAAUGUCUAGUUCUAUUAGACCUUCUGUUGUUCCGAGCAUGGAAAACAACAGCUUUGUUAUCGCACCAUAACUGAAUUGGCAUAGCAAUCGAUUCGACAACAUUCAUGCUAGAUAUGAAGUUCUUCAACCACACAGCUUGUGAAGUGGCUUCAUAACAAGCUACAUAUUCAGCCUGCAUUGUAGACGUUGCAACUUCCCCUUGUUUUGCACUUUUCCAAGACACUGCUCCCCCAGUGAGCAUGAAAACGUAGCUGGAAGUAGACUUGAGAGAAUCUGCACACCCCGCAAAAUCCGAAUCCGAGUAGCCAAUCAACUCGAGAUUAUUGGUCCUUCUAUAGCAGAGUUUAUAAGUCUUAGUCCUUUUCAAAUAUCUCAUGACUCUUUUUGCAGCCAUCCAAUGAGAAAAACCUGGAUUAGAUUGAUAUCUAGACAAAACACCAAUUGCUUGAGUGAUGUCGGGUCUAGUGCACACUUGUGCAUACAUGAGGCUGCCAAUAAGAGAAGCAUAGGGUCUUCCAGCCAUCUCUACCCUUUCAAUUUCAGUUUUAGGGCAUUGGGAUUUACUUAGCUUAUCUGCCUUUGCCAUGGGAAUGUCACAACCAUUGCAAUCCUGCAUCUCGGACCUUUUCAAAACUUGUUCAACAUAAGCCUUUUGAGAUAAGCCAAGUAUUUUAUUCUUCCUAUCUCUAGUAAUUUCUAUCCCCAAGAUGUAAGAAGCCUCUUCCAUAUCCUUCAUCUCAAAUCUAUUAGACAAGAAAAGCUUUGUCUCAUGGAGUAGGGUAAGAUUUGUGCUAGCUAGCAAGAUAUCAUCUACAUAAAGUACCAAGAUUACAAAAUGCCUCCCACUGAAUUUUAGAUAUAUGCACAUCAGACGGGUUCUCAAUUAAACCAUAAUCUUGUAUAACUUGAUCAAACUUCAAGUACCAUUGUCUUGAGGCUUGUUUCAAACCAUAAAUGGAUUUCUUGAGCUUACACACUAAAUUCUCUCUCCCUUCUUGAAUGAACCCUUCCGGUUGCUUCAUGAAAAUUUCUUCAUCCAAAUCACCAUUCAAGAAUGCAGUUUUUACAUCCAUUUGGUGUAGAAACAAGUCGAAGUGAGCUACAAGUGCCAUUAUGACCCUAAAUGAAUCUUUGGUAGAAACGGGAGAAAAUGUCUCAUUGUAGUCAAUUCCUUCCUUUUGAGUGAACCCUUUGGCUACUAAUCUAGCCUUAUAUCGCUCUAUAUCUCCCUUAGAAUCUCUUUUGGUUUUGAAUACCCACUUACAUCCUACAGCCUUGCACCCCUUUGGUAAUUGUACUAGCUCCCAAACUCCAUUCUUACUCAUUGAUUCAAGCUCAGACUUCAUGGCUUUCAACCACUCUUCAUUUUGAGAACUAGUCACGGUCUCCUUGAAUGUAAUUGGAUCAUCAACCUCUCCCAGAUUAAAUUCAGAUUCUUGUAGAUAACAAAUAAAAUCAUCCGAUAUUGCAUGCCUUCUAAUUCUUUGGGAUUUUCUUAAAAGGACUUGGUUUUGGUCAUCGGUAUUACUAGCAGGGACUAUGGGCUCACUCACUUGGAUUGGUAUAUCAUGGUGAUCAUGUACAAUUUCUUGCUGCUCACUUUCCACGUGAGCAUUAAGAGAUGGACUUUCAUCACUUGCUGCCAUGGUGGAGUUAACCACAACAUCUUCUUGUACAACAAGUCCUUGUUCAUUAUUUAAUUCCUUUUCCUCUUCAAAGCUGAAGCUUUCAACCUCUAAAUCACCAACCGACCCUUCUAUAAACUUAGCUCUCCCAGUUUCAAUAAUUCUUGUGGUGUGAUUUGGACAAUAAAAUCGAUAACCUUUGCUCCUUUCGGGAUAUCCAAUGAAAAAACAACUAAUGGUUCUUAGGUUUAAUUUUUUCUCCAAUGGUUAUAAGCUCUUGCUUCUGCCUUGCAACCCCAAACUUUUAGAUGAAAUACACUCGGUUUCUUCUUGUACCAUAAUUCAUAUGGAGUGCUUGGAACAGAUUUGCUAGGAGCUCUAUUUAAGAUGUAGUUUGAUGUCUUUAUAGCGUCACCCCACAAAAACAUUGGCAACUUUGUGCAGCACAUCAUACUCCUCACCAUAUCUUUAAGAGUUCUAUUUCGUCUUUCCGAAACUCCGUUCUGUUCAGGUGUUCCAGGAUUAGUGUACUGUGCUACAAUGCCAUUCUUUUCCAAAAACAGUGCAAAAGGUCCAGGACGACGGCCAGCUUCAUCAUACUUGCCAUAGUAUUCCCCGCCUCUAUCGGAUCUAACAACUUUGAUCUUUAAGUCCAAUUUGUUUUCCACUUCAGCUUUAUAUAUUUUAAAAGCUUCAAAAGCUGCAGAUUUUUCAGUCAAAAGAUAUAAGUAGCCAUACCUUGAAUAGUCAUCAAUGAAGGUGAUGAAAUAUUUAAAGCCAUCAUGUGUUGGUGUGGGAAACGGACCGCAAAUGUCGGUGUGAAUAAGUUCCAACAGAUUUUGGCUUCUAAUUGCACCCUUCUUUUUGGUGUUAACCAUUUUCCCUUUUAUACAUUCAACACAAACAUCCAUGUCUUGAUAAUCAAGCGGUGGCAAAAUUUCAGUUUUGUUAAAGUUUGCAUUCGUUCCUUUGAUAUAUGUCCUAACCGUUUGUGCCAUAACUUGGAUGAAGUUUCAUUGGUUGAAAUCCUUCUCUUAACUCCUACGGUGUUCAUGGAGACAAAUGGAACCUUGCAAUUUAGUUUAAAUAAACCAUCAACAAAUAGACCACUUCCAACGAAAUUCAACUUGUGAUUAAUAUCGAAGCCAUCUUUAUUAAAACUAGGAAAGAAUUUAUUCUUGAUGAGUUUGCCAACGGAAACCAAAUUCCUUCUCAUUGAAGGUACAUAAAUAACAUCUUCUAAAUCUAAAACAAAACCAGAAUCCAAAACAAGUCGAACUACUCCAAUGAACUCCACCGGUACUCUUUCUCCAUUGCCUACGAACACGCUUACUUCAUCCUUGUUUGGCACCCUCUUGCUUAUGAACCCCUGCAAGGUAUUUGUAAUAUGCACAGAAGCACCAUUAUCAAGCCACCAUGUAUCAGAAGGAACAUCAACCAAACUAGUUUCAAAGCAAACAAACACAAUGUUCUUACCUUUAGCCUUUUGUUUCUCCAACCAACGCCUAUACUUUGGGCAAUCCUUUUUCAAAUGUCCAGCAAACUUCUUACAGAAAAAACACUUCAAACCAUUUGGCUUGUUUGCUGCCUUGAAGUUGUUAUACCCUUUAGGUUUGUAGGAGGGGUUUUUGGAAAUUUCUUUGACUGAAUUCUUAGCAUGUGGACUAAAUUAGCGACCUUGCUCUUGUCAUGUCUUAUGUUCUGCUCUUCGUGAACACAAAUAGCUAUAAGCUCAUUGAGAUCCCACUUUUCCUUUUGAGCAUUGUAGGUGCUUUUUAGUUGAGAGUACUCCGAAGGCAAAGAGUUAAGGGCCACAGGAACCAGGAAUGGAUCACUAAUUGCAACAUCCAAAGCAUUUAACUUAGUAGCAAUAUCAAUUAGCCCAAAUAUGUGCUCCCUCACACUUCCAUCGACAAACUUGGUUGUCAUCAAUAAGUUCAUAAGGUUUCCGGUUUCAGCUUUGUCGGAUUCCUUGAACUUAGCUUCAAUUGAUGCCAAAAAUUCUUUAGCACUAUCCGUAUCAGCAAUACCACCUCUCACAGUGUCAGACAUUGCCCUUUUCAUAAUGAGAAUUGCCAUCCUAUUUGCCUUAUGCCACUUUUCAUACUUAUUUUUAAUCUUAGUCGAGUCGUCCUCUUCAGGAACAUCUGGUUCUUCCUCUCUCAAAGCAACAUCUAAGUCCAUGAGACCUAGAAUAAUCUCUAUGUCUUGCUUCCACUUUUUAUAGUUGGUCCUAGUUAAAGCUUGGAUUGAAUUGAAAUUCAAAGAAGCAUUGACAGCUGAAGAUUUAAACAAACAAUACAUACUUAAUCCCCAUAAACUUCAAAACAUAAUUAACUUACACCUACGGGCAAGAAAGUUAAUAUGUAUGUGGCACUAAAAUACAUAGUUAUAAGAAUUACUUUCAUGAAAAAUUUUCCACUCUUACGAGCAAGAAGAAAACCUUCCACAAAUUCUUACAGUAUAUAUUCCAUACCAUGCUAUUGUCUAAUUGAACCAAUUAAAAUAAUUCACACUUACGAGCAAGAAGAUUAUCAUAAUCGUUAUAAUUAAAACAACAAAAUUUGAUCAAUAGGACUUUGGAUUUAGAGACCACUCAAAUCAAUUAAGCCGCUACGGCUUGCUUAAUCGAUAUCAACCAAGUGAUACCUAAAAACUUGAUCAUAUAUUACUUUAUGCAUGUCAGAUUAUUAAUCUUUAUAUCAGACAUGUCUUUCUAGAACCGGAAACAAUCCAUCAUGCAAAUAUAUGUCCAGUUUCAAUGUCUUUCAAUUAGUCCUUAUAUUGGCAAUACGUUAAUUAACACGGCAUCCAUGCACAACAAUAUAAUAAUGUAAACCCAUCAUCCACUUUGAAUGCCAGAUAAUUGAAAAAACAUAGCAGCCAUCAUGCGUAAUUAUUUUAAGGCAAAAAACUGAACCAGAAAACUAUAAACUAUAACAUGAUGAACGACAGAAAAGGAACUUUAUCGAGUUUUCUAAUUUAAUUUUCUUUUAAGGUCUUAAUCAUACAAGCUACGCUCUGAUACCACAUGUAAAACUUUAUUAGCCUAUAUAGAUUAAAACACAUAUAAGUAACUAACCUGGAGACGCCAUGCGUGAAACCUUGGUGUGCAAAGAGUCUUCUACGUUGUACUGAUCCUUAGCAAUCAAACCGUAUGGGGAGUUUGUGAAUAUUGCGCAUAUCAGCAAACGCAGGGACCUUCACUUAUAUAGACAUAUUAACCUAAGAGGCUUAGCCCAUCAUUGAGACCUAAUAGGUAACUGAAUAUGUCUAUAUCUCCUUAACCAAUCAGGAUUAGGAACCCCUUUAGCAAGAAUAACAACUUAAUAUUACAUUCCUUUUGCAACCGGUAAAGUCCAAGUUAAUUCCCUAAUCCUAUAACUUGAUCCUCAAGUAACGUACAAUGAUUGUGAGACCACAAAACCUUGUGAGAACCGGAUUUUACUCCAACAUAUA